RNAcentral lists this ribosomal RNA (253 nucleotides) under uncultured bacterium. RNAcentral's name for it is "partial 16S ribosomal RNA". It matches the Rfam family "Bacterial small subunit ribosomal RNA", at positions 524 to 776 of the family's 1533-position model. The record is from RNAcentral.
UACAGAGGGGGCAAGCGUUGUUCGGAAUUACUGGGCGUAAAGGGCGCGUAGGCGGCCUGUUAAGUCGGACGUGAAAUCCCUCGGCUCAACCGGGGAACUGCGUCCGAAACUGGCGGGCUUGAAUUCGGGAGAGGGAUGUGGAAUUCCAGGUGUAGCGGUGAAAUGCGUAGAUAUGCGGAGGAACAUCGAUGGCGAAGGCAAUCCCCUGGGCCUGCACUGACGCUCAUGCACGAAAGCGUGGGGAGCAAACAGG